This 492-nucleotide ribosomal RNA is filed under the name uncultured bacterium. RNAcentral describes it as "partial 16S ribosomal RNA". It matches the Rfam family "Bacterial small subunit ribosomal RNA", at positions 29 to 507 of the family's 1533-position model. The record is from RNAcentral.
AAUGAACGCUGGCGGUAUGCCUAACACAUGCAAGUCGAACGGCAGCACAGUAAGAGCUUGCUCUUACGGGUGGCGAGUGGCGGACGGGUGAGGAAUACAUCGGAAUCUACUUUUUCGUGGGGGAUAACGUAGGGAAACUUACGCUAAUACCGCAUACGACCUACGGGUGAAAGCAGGGGAUCUUCGGACCUUGCGCGAUUGAAUGAGCCGAUGUCGGAUUAGCUAGUUGGCGGGGUAAAGGCCCACCAAGGCGACGAUCCGUAGCUGGUGUGAGAGGAUGAUCAGCAACACUGGAAUUGAGACAGAGUCAAGACUCCUACGGGAGGCAGCAGUGGGGAACAUUGGACAAGGGGGGCAAGCCUGCUCCAGCCAUACCGCGUGGGUGAAGAAGGCCUUCGGGUUGUAAAGCCCUUUUGUUGGGACAGAAAAGCAGCAGGUUAAUACUCCGAUGUUCUGACGGUACCCAAAGAAUAAGCACCGGCUAACUACGUG